This is a non-coding RNA of Ascaris lumbricoides (common roundworm), 73 nucleotides long. NCBI's taxonomy places the organism in Eukaryota, Metazoa, Nematoda, Chromadorea, Rhabditida, Ascarididae. The record is from Rfam.
GGUCUCGUGGUGUAGCGGUUAUCACGCCUGCUUCAUACACAGGAGGUCUCCGGUUCAAUUCCGGCCGAGAUCA